This 88-nucleotide transfer RNA is filed under the name Candidatus Poribacteria bacterium. RNAcentral describes it as "tRNA-Ser". It matches the Rfam family "tRNA". From Rfam's summary of the family: Transfer RNA (tRNA) molecules are approximately 80 nucleotides in length. Lineage: Bacteria; Candidatus Poribacteria. The record is from RNAcentral.
GGUGGGAUGGCUGAGUGGUCGAAAGCGGCGGUCUUGAAAACCGUUGUACCGCAAGGUACCGUGGGUUCGAAUCCUACUCCCACCGCCA